RNAcentral lists this transfer RNA (72 nucleotides) under Ovis aries (sheep). It matches the Rfam family "tRNA". From Rfam's summary of the family: Transfer RNA (tRNA) molecules are approximately 80 nucleotides in length. Their secondary structure includes four short double-helical elements and three loops (D, anti-codon, and T loops). Lineage: Eukaryota; Metazoa; Chordata; Mammalia; Artiodactyla; Bovidae. The record is from Rfam by way of RNAcentral.
UCCCUGGUAGUCCAGUGGCUAAGACUCUGAGCUCCCAGUGCAGAGGCCCCGGUUCAAUUCCUGGUCAGGGAA